AAGCAAGGUGCAAUACAAUAGACAAGAUGCAAUUCAAGAGCCAAGAGUCAGCAGCUUUUAUUAUCUAGCAUCCAAGUUAUACAUGUGUAAAGGGGGAGGCAAGAACAGGGACAAGAAUCAAGCCAGGUUCUGAAACACUCAGUGGGAGGGGAGGUCCCCAACGCUAGGCCAUGGCGUCCAGCGGCGGCUGGGGAUGGAAACAAGAAGUUGCAUAUCUGCGCUUGUGGGACGUAGGGUUUUUCUUGUGGUGGGUGAGUGGGGGAGGGGAAAGAUCACGUGAGGCAGAUCGGUCGCUGCUUGUUGGGACGUGGAAACGAGGGGGAGGUGGGCCUGCCUUUUUAGCACAUGGGUGGGGACCGACAGGAUUGACUUUCCUAAUAUGGCGGCCGCGACAUCCACCCGCAUCGCGCGCGGGCGCUGCGUAGCAGCGUCCGGGUUAUUAUUUAACAUUAACCACCACAUGAAGCCAUUUUUAUCUCUUGCA
Non-coding RNA from Aegilops tauschii subsp. strangulata, 484 nucleotides. The record is from RefSeq and is a predicted model, not a curated record. NCBI's taxonomy places the organism in Eukaryota, Viridiplantae, Streptophyta, Magnoliopsida, Poales, Poaceae.